UGAUGGCGUGCCUUUUGAAGAAUGAGCCUGCGAGUCAGCGGCAUGUCGCGAGGUUAACCCGUGUGGGGUAGCCGUAGGGAAACCGAAUCCUAAUGGGGUGUCAAGUGGCAUGUCCUGGACCCGAAGCGGGGUGAUCUACCCAUGGCCAGGUUGAAGCGCGGGUAAGACCGCGUGGAGGACCGAACCCACUUAGGUUGAAAACUGAGGGGAUGACCUGUGGAUAGGGGUGAAAGGCCAAUCAAACUUCGUGAUAGCUGGUUCUCUCCGAAAUGCAUUUAGGUGCAGCGUUGCGUGUUUCUUGCCGGAGGUAGAGCUACUGGAUGGUCUAGGGGGCCCACAAGCUUACCGAAAUCAACCAAACUCCGAAUGCCGGAAAGUUAGAGCGCGGCAG
This 391-nucleotide ribosomal RNA is filed under the name Thalassiosira minuscula. RNAcentral's name for it is "partial Bacterial large subunit ribosomal RNA". It matches the Rfam family "Bacterial large subunit ribosomal RNA", at positions 594 to 983 of the family's 2925-position model. The record is from RNAcentral. Lineage: Eukaryota; Bacillariophyta; Thalassiosirophyceae; Thalassiosirales; Thalassiosiraceae.